GUGCAGUGCUGCAUCUCUGG
Molecule: microRNA, 20 nt
Filed under: Macaca mulatta (Rhesus monkey)
Lineage: Eukaryota; Metazoa; Chordata; Mammalia; Primates; Cercopithecidae
Also listed under: 1 other name
Description: mml-miR-143-5p
Gene: mml-miR-143-5p
Source: miRBase by way of RNAcentral